AUUUUGUCAAAUAUAAUUUCAGCAGAAUCACUGUAUAUUCAAAAUAUGUUUAUGUUGCAGGCCUCUUCAUUAAGCCAUUUCCUAUGAUAAAAUCCUAGCAAAACACAAAAGCUGGGAUCUUGAAGAGAUUCUUUUCCAUUAUAGGUUAUUACAAGAUAUUGACUCUAGUUCCCUGUGCUAUACAAUAUGUGCCCAGGAGUGGGAUUGCUGGAUCAUAUGGUAGCUUUAUUUUUAGUUUUUUUAAGGAACUCUCCAUACCGUUCUCCACAGUGGUUGCUAGAUGCUUUUUUUUUUUUUAAUAUUUGUUUAUUUAGGCUGCACCAGCUCUUAGUUGCAGCACAUGGGAUCUUUGUUGUGACAUGUUUAGUUGUGGCAUGUGGGCUCUUAGUUGUGGCAUAUGGACUCCUUAGUUGCGGCAUGCGGACUCCCUAGUUGUGGCAUGCAUGUGGGAUCUAGUUCCCUGAUCAGGGAUCAAACCCAGGCCCCCUGCAUUGGGAGCAUGGAGUCUUACCCACUGGACCACCAGGGAAGUCCCUAGGUGAUUUUUUAAGUGUGGUCUUCAGACCAGCAGCAUCACCAUCCGUGUACCCUGGGAGCUCACUGGAAAUGCAGGCCCCACCCCAGGCCUACGGCAUCAAGUUACCAGGUAAUUUGUGUGCAUGUUAAAUUUGAGAAGCACCUGUGUAGGCAGUUAUUUUUAGUAGAACUUUCUACUGUUGGAAAAGUAGGAAUUACAAAAACCAAGGAAGGAAAGGGUGUCAGAUGUUUCCUGCACAACAGAAGGAAAUGUUGAAGAAAAUUUCCAAAUCCGGUUUGCCUGCUUACUUCCUGUCAUGAAUUUGCUCCCUUUCCUGCCUGGAAGUAGCUCUUCAAUUAUGCUUUCUCCCAAGUGUCCUCGGAGAACAGGGAGUGGUGGUGGGAGUCUAUCAUCAUCUGAAACAUGUAGAUUUCUGACCUCUCUCUCAAGAUUGUUGUGAGAACAAAUAAGAUGAUUCUGCAACUUUUUGUGAACUGUGAGUUCUAGAAAUACAUGGUUUUAGUAACGAUUGAAUUUUAUGUCAGCCUUUUACCUAGUUGUGAAGCUGGAACUCUGUGCAUUUUGUUUCAGGGUCAGGAGUAGUGUGCUCUGAGUUGUGUUUCAUUUGCAGAACCUUAGGCCUGAGGACCGAGAAACCUUGAGCAUCAUAUACUUAAUUCUAAAUCCUCUCUCUGGUCGCUACACACAACUCAGGAUUUUAAACUCUCCCAUCUGUUAGUACAUCAUAUUGAUGAAGUUUGUACUGUUUCACCUGGGCUGGGUGUGGCAGACAUUCAGUGCCACAGAGCAGGGAUGAUCAUCUCCAAUCUCCAGUUUGCGCUGCUUUGUUUCAUCCAGCCCACUGUGAUUGUUAGUGAAGAUCAAUAGUAGUGUUUUGUGAGUAUCAAUAAGGGAGUUUUCUACAACAAAUUGCAGGCUUUGCAAGCUGCAUGGGAAUAUCUAUUCCUUAGUACCACUCAGAGGUGACCCUGAAGGAGCAGGUAGUGCUUUCCCAGAGGUAAGUUGUGAUGUGGUGGUAGGAGCGGGCAAUGUGUUCAUUCGGGAAGAUCUAUUGGUAGCGGGCAGGUGCGUGGGACUCAGCAGCAGGCCGUGGGGGUCUGCAGACUCAGCAGGACCAUGUCACAAGGCACUGCCUGUGCACCACCCGCCUGGGUGUCCCCUGGAACUUCAAGAGGAGUCAAGCUCUAAUCCUUCCCCGUGGCAGCCCUUCCCCAGCUCCAGGAUCAGGGAAGCUGAGAGUGAAAGAUUACCGAUCUGUCAUGGCCGCCUCCUGUCGUCAGAAUCACUGUGACUAAUUUGAACAAAGGACCUUCCUGCAGCCUCUCAGGCUACAACGCAGCGAGAAUGACUGAACUGCGGCUAUCUGCAUCAACAUGGAUUCCUUGUGGAAUACUGAACAAAAUAGACUUAUACUGAUUAUACUCUUACACUAUUUACCUGCUGACUCUCCCGAAGCUGACUGAUCUCCAGUCUCUGAUCAGGGAAUUUUAGGUUUCAGCAGCCCACCAGGUCUGAAAUCAAGGCGCUGGUAAUGCCAGGUAAGUUUCUCCCAGCAUUCACAGAGGAUGGUGUGAUUCUGUCCUCAGGCCCCUAUCACAUCCUGCUCACAU
Globicephala melas (long-finned pilot whale) is the source of this 2148-nucleotide long non-coding RNA. RefSeq lists it as uncharacterized. NCBI's taxonomy places the organism in Eukaryota, Metazoa, Chordata, Mammalia, Artiodactyla, Delphinidae. The record is from RefSeq and is a predicted model, not a curated record.